CAAAGAUGCACCAAUUGUAGCCAAGUAUUUAUCCUUUAUUUACACAGCUUAAUAGAUGGGCUUAUUAUCUUUCAAAAGGCAGAAAAGGAUCAGCCUAACCAUGAGAAUAUUCCAUCAAAUCAUGGGCUCGUACUCCUCCCCCACCCAACUCCAAGAUUCUCUAUUUUAUUUAAGAUGAACUUAAUGAGGAUUUUCCACAUCAUACCAAUAAGAAAACAUAAUAAUAUAAUAUGCAAGUUGCAGAAAAUUUGGUUAUAACUUAAAAACUUAACCGAAUAAUUCUAAUUUGAUUUUUCAAUCUAAAUGAUUUGAUUCAGUUAUUUAUUUCUAAAAUUUUGGUCACUUGAUUCAAUUCAGUUUGGCUAUUAAGGUCUAAAAAAUAGAAAUAACUGAACUGAGUCAACUAUCCGAAGUUUGGUUUUGCUCUAAUCCAUUAUUCUUUUGCUCAUCAAUUAUAAAGAAAUUUUGUUGGCCCUGGCUUAAUCUCUAAGCCCUAAUUUUUCUUCUCUUUCCCCCUUUCUCAAAUUUUCACCUCACAUCCUCGUCUUACCUCGACCUUGCCCUUGCCCCUAUCUCGCCACCUCUCGUUGUUGUCUCUCCUCUCUCAAUUUCUCACUCUCCCUUCAUAGCCCAUUAACUCUUCUCAUCAUCUCUCCUUCUCCUUCCUCAGAUCCAUUUCUUCAAAACCUAUAAAUGGCAUUCAAUUCCAUUCUUUGCAAAACCUCAGCAUAUGUACUUUCUCUUGCAAUUUGCUCCGCAAGUUCACAAAGAACAUUUGACCUCAUAAUAUUUGUCAUUCUCUGUGUCGAAAAGUGCAACGAAAACUUUCUUCCAUUUUUGCAAUUCUCAACUGCUUUUCUUCCAUUUUUGCAAUUCUCAACUGCU
Molecule: unclassified non-coding RNA, 885 nt
Filed under: Hevea brasiliensis (rubber tree)
Lineage: Eukaryota; Viridiplantae; Streptophyta; Magnoliopsida; Malpighiales; Euphorbiaceae
Source: RNAcentral